CUGCGGAGGGAUCAUUGCUGGAACGCGCUUCGGCGCACCCAGAAACCCUUUGUGAACUCAUACCACUGUUGCCUCGGCGCUGCUGGCCCUAGGGUCUCCCACCACGGUGGGAAAAAAGCACGCCGGUGGCCAA
This 133-nucleotide ribosomal RNA is filed under the name Phomopsis sp. CGMMCC 3.15142. RNAcentral's name for it is "partial 18S ribosomal RNA". Lineage: Eukaryota; Fungi; Ascomycota; Sordariomycetes; Diaporthales; Diaporthaceae. The record is from RNAcentral.